This 708-nucleotide ribosomal RNA is filed under the name uncultured Bacilli bacterium. RNAcentral describes it as "bacterial SSU rRNA". It matches the Rfam family "Bacterial small subunit ribosomal RNA", at positions 50 to 729 of the family's 1533-position model. Lineage: Bacteria; Bacillati; Bacillota; Bacilli. The record is from RNAcentral.
AAUACAUGCAAGUCGAACGCUUCUUUUUCCACCGGAGCUUGCUCCACCGGAAAAAGAGGAGUGGCGAACGGGUGAGUAACACGUGGGUAACCUGCCCAUCAGAAGGGGAUAACACUUGGAAACAGGUGCUAAUACCGUAUAACAAUCAAAACCGCAUGGUUUUGAUUUGAAAGGCGCUUUCGGGUGUCGCUGAUGGAUGGACCCGCGGUGCAUUAGCUAGUUGGUGAGGUAACGGCUCACCAAGGCCACGAUGCAUAGCCGACCUGAGAGGGUGAUCGGCCACAUUGGGACUGAGACACGGCCCAAACUCCUACGGGAGGCAGCAGUAGGGAAUCUUCGGCAAUGGACGAAAGUCUGACCGAGCAACGCCGCGUGAGUGAAGAAGGUUUUCGGAUCGUAAAACUCUGUUGUUAGAGAAGAACAAGGAUGAGAGUAACUGUUCAUCCCUUGACGGUAUCUAACCAGAAAGCCACGGCUAACUACGUGCCAGCAGCCGCGGUAAUACGUAGGUGGCAAGCGUUGUCCGGAUUUAUUGGGCGUAAAGCGAGCGCAGGCGGUUUCUUAAGUCUGAUGUGAAAGCCCCCGGCUCAACCGGGGAGGGUCAUUGGAAACUGGGAGACUUGAGUGCAGAAGAGGAGAGUGGAAUUCCAUGUGUAGCGGUGAAAUGCGUAGAUAUAUGGAGGAACACCAGUGGCGAAGGCGGCUCUC